GAUGAACGCUGGCGGCGUGCCUAAUACAUGCAAGUCGAGCGAACGGACGAGGAGCUUGCUUCUCUGAUGUUAGCGGCGGACGGGUGAGUAACACGUGGAUAACCUACCUAUAAGACUGGGAUAACUUCGGGAAACCGGAGCUAAUACCGGAUAAUAUUUUGAACCGCAUGGUUCAAUAGUGAAAGACGGUCUUGCUGCCACUUAUAGAUGGAUCCGCGCUGCAUUGGCUAGUUGGUAAGGUAACGGCUUACCAAGGCAACGAUGCAUAGCCGACCUGAGAGGGUGAUCGGCCACACUGGAACUGGGACACGGUCCAGACUCCUACGGGAGGCAGCAGUAGGGAAUCUUCCGCAAUGGGCGAAAGCCUGACGGAGCAACGCCGCGUGAGUGAUGAAGGUCUUCGGAUCGUAAAACUCUGUUAUUAGGGAAGAACAUAUGUGUAAGUAACUGUGCACAUCUUGACGGUACCUAAUCAGAAAGCCACGGCUAACUACGUG
RNAcentral lists this ribosomal RNA (497 nucleotides) under uncultured bacterium. RNAcentral's name for it is "partial 16S ribosomal RNA". It matches the Rfam family "Bacterial small subunit ribosomal RNA", at positions 28 to 507 of the family's 1533-position model. The record is from RNAcentral.